RNAcentral lists this small RNA (112 nucleotides) under Yersinia enterocolitica subsp. enterocolitica 8081. RNAcentral describes it as "Alpha operon ribosome binding site (RF00140) as predicted by Rfam". It matches the Rfam family "Alpha operon ribosome binding site". Rfam says of the family: The bacterial alpha operon ribosome binding site is surrounded by this complex pseudoknotted structure. Lineage: Bacteria; Pseudomonadati; Pseudomonadota; Gammaproteobacteria; Enterobacterales; Yersiniaceae. The record is from RNAcentral.
GUGACUGCAAUGCUAUUUGAGUAUCCUGAAAACGGGCUUUUCAGAAUGGUAUUGCUGUAUAAAAUAGUAGGAGUGCAUAGUGGCCCGUAUAGCAGGCAUUAACAUUCCUGAU